Small nucleolar RNA from Melanaphis sacchari, 77 nucleotides. Lineage: Eukaryota; Metazoa; Arthropoda; Insecta; Hemiptera; Aphididae. The record is from RefSeq and is a predicted model, not a curated record.
AAUGCUUAUGAUGAUAAAAUAUCAUAUUUAAUGAAUUUUAGUGAUUGUUAAUUACAUGCACUACCAACUGAUGCAUU